Molecule: small nucleolar RNA, 107 nt
Filed under: Eutrema salsugineum
Lineage: Eukaryota; Viridiplantae; Streptophyta; Magnoliopsida; Brassicales; Brassicaceae
Description: Plant small nucleolar RNA R71
Rfam family: Plant small nucleolar RNA R71
About the family: R71 is a member of the C/D box family of snoRNAs containing the C (UGAUGA) and D (CUGA) box motifs. Multiple nearly identical copies of this snoRNA have been identified in Arabidopsis, and it is thought to function as a 2'-O-ribose methylation guide for 18S ribosomal RNA.
Source: Rfam by way of RNAcentral
AAUCCAUGGCGAGGGCAUUCCAUGGUAUAUCCUCUAAAUCUUUCCCAAACCUCACGAAAGGAUUCAUGGUUCUUCUAGAUGAAACUUGAGAUUUCAUUUCUCAACCU